This 495-nucleotide ribosomal RNA is filed under the name uncultured bacterium. RNAcentral's name for it is "partial 16S ribosomal RNA". It matches the Rfam family "Bacterial small subunit ribosomal RNA", at positions 28 to 507 of the family's 1533-position model. The record is from RNAcentral.
GACGAACGCUGGCGGCGUGCCUAAUACAUGCAAGUAGAACGCUGAAGGAGGAGCUUGCUUCUCUGGAUGAGUUGCGAACGGGUGAGUAACGCGUAGGUAACCUGCCUGGUAGCGGGGGAUAACUAUUGGAAACGAUAGCUAAUACCGCAUAAUAGUAGAUGUUGCAUGACAUUUGCCUAAAAGGUGCAAUUGCAUCACUACCAGAUGGACCUGCGUUGUAUUAGCUAGUUGGUGGGGUAACGGCUCACCAAGGCGACGAUACAUAGCCGACCUGAGAGGGUGAUCGGCCACACUGGGACUGAGACACGGCCCAGACUCCUACGGGAGGCAGCAGUAGGGAAUCUUCGGCAAUGGACGGAAGUCUGACCGAGCAACGCCGCGUGAGUGAAGAAGGUUUUCGGAUCGUAAAGCUCUGUCGUAAGAGAAGAACGAGUGUGAGAGUGGAAAGUUCACACUGUGACGGUAUCUUACCAGAAAGGGACGGCUAACUACGUG